UGGGGAAUUUUGGACAAUGGGCGCAAGCCUGAUCCAGCAAUGCCGCGUGCAGGAAGAAGGCCUUCGGGUUGUAAACUGCUUUUGUACGGAACGAAACGGCUCUGGUUAAUACCCGGGGCUAAUGACGGUACCGUAAGAAUAAGCACCGGCUAACUACGUGCCAGCAGCCGCGGUAAUACGUAGGGUGCGAGCGUUAAUCGGAAUUACUGGGCGUAAAGCGUGCGCAGGCGGUGCUGUAAGACAGGCGUGA
RNAcentral lists this ribosomal RNA (250 nucleotides) under uncultured bacterium. RNAcentral's name for it is "partial 16S ribosomal RNA". It matches the Rfam family "Bacterial small subunit ribosomal RNA", at positions 355 to 597 of the family's 1533-position model. The record is from RNAcentral.